ACGAUAAGUGUGAAUUUCUUUUUAUGAAAAUAGACUUGGCCACACUCUAUCAAAUCCAUUGUGCAUUAUUGGAUCUGCAACGUGAGUUCGUCAAAUUGUGAUCUCGUUCCGAUUGAUCUCCGCGAUCGAAAUCGUGCAAGUUAUAGAGCUUGUGAAGAAGAUAAACAGUAUCAAAGAUUGUUUGAAUCGAACUCUGAAAGAUGCAUAAUCGGAGAUGAUCAAAGUGAAUUUGUUUUUAUGAAAAUAGAUUUGGCCACGCAGUAUGAAACCCAUUAUGGCAAAGAUUAAAUUCACCCCCGACGACGAAAGGACGUACCCGACGGAAAAGGAAAAGGAUUCUCACUCCAUUGCUCAACAGUUGUUAACAGGUAUAAUGUGAAAAGUGAUAUCAGUUUCCUCUUAAUUCCAGUGGGCUGCAUAUCACAAGAUAGGGGGCAUUUGAUAUAAACUGAAGGUCAUCGCAAGUGGAAGGUGACAUCUCUAAAUUUGUACCGAAGUAUGUUGCAAGGUUUUUUUUGUUCGUAUAUAGUGGUAGAUUACAAGUCAACUGAAAAGAGGGGACCAGUGUUGGAUUCAAACGAUUCGAUAUUGUCUCAAACUCAUUUCUUUGUUCAGCAGAGGAGGAAAUCAGAGCAGAAAUCUCGAUAUGUCAGUUGGAGAUCUUCCAUGUUUUUUACUGUUCUCAUCCCUGCUGUUAUAGGUAACCACUUCAAUUAGGCUUUUUUUUCUUAUCGUCAUCUAGUUCGAAAUCGUUCCUGACCUCUGCUGAGCUGAACCAUGCGUGUGAGUUUUGAUUUUCACAUUCUUCAUGAAUUUAGUUUGUCGUAUAAGAGUUGCUAAUGAUCACUACCAAAAACAGUUUGCAAUUUUUUGGCCAUGAUUAUGUAGCUAUUUGUUCAGGAUAUUGAUGGUUAUUCGCUCAGAGGUAGUGUGUAGUUUACUAGUUUAGUGCUUAUCUUAUGUAAUUUUAUACAGGCAUUAUAAAUUGGUCGAGCUAAUAAUGGUUAUAUGCAAACUGCCUGCGGACUAAUACUGACUCGAUUAGAAGUUUCGCAUUGUAGGAUUAGAAGUAUAUGGUGGUCCAGACUUAGAAUUUGCUUCUUCCUAGGUUUCAAGUUCAAAACCUAAUCAACUUAUAUGGGGCCAUUCCAUAUGGGGCUUUGCUCCGACUUUAAGCUAGUGGACAAUGGGAUUGGUAUCCUGGAGAUUAGCGGAUGUGCGAGCUGGCCCUGACAUUCUGAGCUUAAAAAAAGUAUCGCAUCGUAAGGCAAGCUGGCAAGGGCUCUUUUUUUGAAGUUGAACGAGGAGAAAGAAUAACGCUAUUCAACAAAACAACAAGCUUCGCCACGAACUGGAACUUUUGAAGCAAGGAAGUGCAAAAUGCAGAAGUGGAUUAUAUUGGCUUGCUUGGUUUAUAAUGGGAUAUCUCAUUAAGAAUUCAUGAGCGAACCUGGGUUUAAAUUUGCUAAAGCAUAAUCCGUAGUAUACGAUUUUGCUUUCGAUAGAGUUAUUAAUCACAUUUGGCUUCAGGAAUUAUACGUCGAAGGAAGUUCCAAACACUUGUAAUUGUGAACAUUAUGUGACGAUGUAAUCCAAUACUUUGUUGUAAUGUUAACACAAGUUUUAUACAGUGUUUACCAAA
Molecule: long non-coding RNA, 1642 nt
Organism: Rhododendron vialii
Lineage: Eukaryota; Viridiplantae; Streptophyta; Magnoliopsida; Ericales; Ericaceae
Exons: 4
Source: RefSeq, a predicted model, not a curated record